Molecule: long non-coding RNA, 825 nt
Organism: Limulus polyphemus (Atlantic horseshoe crab)
Lineage: Eukaryota; Metazoa; Arthropoda; Merostomata; Xiphosura; Limulidae
Exons: 2
Source: RefSeq, a predicted model, not a curated record
GACGCUGUCAAUCAGAUGUGUUUUUAGUAAAUGGACGCUGUCAAUCAGAUGUGUUUUUAAUAAAUGGACGCUGUCAAUCACAUGUGUUUUUAAUAAAUGGAAGCUGUCAAUCACAUGUGUUUUAAUUUAACUAGGAUCAAUAAAGGAUGAAGUAAUUUAUGACGGUGAGUACAGUCACUAACCCUAAUGUAUCUGAAAGUGAAAGCGUCUCGAGCUUUCGGACACAACUGAGCCAUAAGAUCUUUCUUUAUUUCUGAUUUUGUAAGUUGGACUGUUACAAGAUAAAUUUUGUUUUAUAUGUUGUUGAAAAUAAAUACAAGCUUUGUAAGUGUAUGUAGUAUAACAAAAUAUCAAAUCUUUAGGUAGGAAUAACUCUCGAACAAACAGACCGUCACCUAGAGGUAAGUCAUAGCCAUACAUUUUCACGUAGAAGUAAUUCCAGAGUAAACAGAUCGUCACCUAGAGGUAAGUCAUAGCCAUAAAUCUUCUCGUGGAGAUAACUCACGAAUAAACAGACCGUCGCCUAGCGGUAAGUCAUAGCCAUAAAUCUUCACGUAGAAGUAAUUCCAGAGCAAACAGGCCGUCACCUAGAGGUAAGUCAUAGCCUUAAACCUUCUCGUAAAAGUAAUUCCCGAGCUAACAGACCGUCACCUAGAGGUAAGUCAUAGCCAUAAAUCUCGUAGAGAUUAUUCACGAAUAAACACUUUUAUUUAGAGAAAGGCAAGUCAUAUAUAUUAAAUCGCCGAAGUAAGUCAAUCACAGGCUAUCACGUUAGGAACUAAGAGAUUGUCAAGUAAAGGUAAUAAUUCACUGAAAGACCAUCAC